GUUUUUUGCCUGUUGUUUGCAAGAAUUUGGGUGUCGUUCAGUGGUGCUGGCAUCAGGCAGUGAUGCUCUCCAUGCUCUGAGCGCUUCCCUUUGUCUGUAUGGGUUAAUGAGUUAAUGCACCUGUGAGGCAGGUGGUGGACAUUAUCUCCCUUUCCAAUAUGAUGCUGCAGCAGGUAAGAGGGAGCAGGCACGGUGCUGGAGCCCUGGGCAUAAAACCAAGCUUUCCUCUUGUGUUUCUAAUCCUUCUUCUCCAAGUGAUGCUGCUGAGCGAUGGCCAGCAGCCGUGAACCCAUCCUGGUUGUGAUGUGUUUCUUCUGUGUAGCUGAGCAAAGAUGUUCCACAUGAAAAAUCAUCCUCCACUGGUUUCCUAAAUCCUGUGGCUCUUUCCCAUCCUGUUCCCCAGGUGGUUUGAGGGGGAGCUCCCCAGAUAUACGAGGUUAAUGGUGACUUUUUGUCCUGGCCGGGUCCUAUCCCGGGUGUCGCUGCGGUUGCUGAGCAUGGGGCUGCCAAGCUGGUGACUGGAGAGCAUGGAGGGGAAAAACAGCGGGGAAGGAGGCAGAGCCUCCCUGAAGUCCUGGCACCAUCCAUGGGGAGGUGGUGCCCACAGCCACGGCACGCGUCGCUGCUUGCUGGCGUCCUUCUCCAGCCACUUGGGAACGCAGGCACUAAGGGCACGCUGCAGAUUUCGGGGACAGAGAAAACCACCGCGGAAAACAAAAGCCGCAAAAGCAAAUACCGGCCCCAAACCGCCCCCCGCUAACCCGGGGGCUGCCCGGAGGUGGGUUUUGCCCCCCUCCCCCGACCGCAGGCAGGUGCCAGGCACAUGUUGGCGGAGGAAAUGAAAGCGCAGCUCGGAGCGGGGCUCUCUCCUCUUCUCCUUUCUUCCUGCCCGGGGAAAAACGCUCGGGGCUGGGGAGCGGCGCUGAAAUCCCGGGGCCGGGCGCUGCUGGUGGGGAGGGAAGAGGAGCAGAGGAGCAGAGAGCAUCCUCCUCCACGCCAAACACCCGCACCGGGACCACCCGCCAGAAGCAGGCGAUGUUGGAGCUGCUCUUCCCAGAAUUUCCCUUCUCCUAUCUCGCAGCCUGCUCGCCGCAGCGCUGGUUGAUGCGCCCGGGACGGAACAACUGGGAAAUAUUUGUGGGGACGCGCGGGUGACUUGUGCUGGUUGGGAUCGCGGGGCCUUCUUUAGGCAGCUCCUCUCAC
Molecule: long non-coding RNA, 1203 nt
Filed under: Cairina moschata (Muscovy duck)
Lineage: Eukaryota; Metazoa; Chordata; Aves; Anseriformes; Anatidae
Description: domestica (muscovy Duck (domestic type)) lncRNA (ENSCMMG00000013155.1)
Source: RNAcentral